This 162-nucleotide ribosomal RNA is filed under the name Angelica dahurica. Its description in RNAcentral is "5.8S ribosomal RNA". It matches the Rfam family "5.8S ribosomal RNA". From Rfam's summary of the family: 5.8S ribosomal RNA (5.8S rRNA) is a component of the large subunit of the eukaryotic ribosome. It is transcribed by RNA polymerase I as part of the 45S precursor that also contains 18S and 28S rRNA. The record is from RNAcentral. Lineage: Eukaryota; Viridiplantae; Streptophyta; Magnoliopsida; Apiales; Apiaceae.
CUCUCGACAACGGAUAUCUCGGCUCUCGCAUCGAUGAAGAACGUAGCGAAAUGCGAUACUUGGUGUGAAUUGCAGAAUCCCGUGAACCAUCGAGUCUUUGAACGCAAGUUGCGCCCGAAGCCACUUGGCUGAGGGCACGCCUGCCUGGGUGUCACGCAUUGU